AGGACGAACGCUGGCGGCGUGCCUAACACAUGCAAGUCGAACGAGGUCCAGUCGGUAGCAAUACCGACGAAGACCUAGUGGCGAACGGGUGAGUAGCACGUGAGCAACCUGCCCCGAAGACCGGGACAACACCGGGAAACCGGUGCUAAUACCGGAUGUCCCCACCGUGUCGCAUGGCGUGGUGAGGAAAUGGAUUCCGCUUCGGGAGGGGCUCGCGGCCUAUCAGCUUGUUGGUGAGGUAACGGCUCACCAAGGCUUCGACGGGUAGCUGGUCUGAGAGGACGAUCAGCCACACUGGGACUGAGACACGGCCCAGACUCCUACGGGAGGCAGCAGUGGGGAAUCUUGCACAAUGGGCGAAAGCCUGAUGCAGCAACGCCGCGUGAGGGACGAAGGCUUUCUGAGUUGUAAACCUCUUUCAGCAGGGACGAUGAUGACGGUACCUGCAGAAGAAGCCCCGGCCAACUACGUGCCAGCAGCCGCGGUAAUACGUAGGGGGCAAGCGUUGUCCGGAUUUAUUGGGCGUAAAGAGCUCGUAGGCGGCUUGGCAAGUCGGAUGUGAAACCUCCAGGCUCAACCUGGAGUCGCCAUUCGAUACUGCCAUGGCUAGAGUUUGGUAGGGGACCACGGAAUUCCUGGUGUAGCGGUGAAAUGCGCAGAUAUCAGGAGGAACACCAGUGGCGAAGGCGGUGGUCUGGGCCGGUACUGACGCUGGGGAGCGAAAGCGUGGGGAGCGAACAGGAUUAGAUACCCUGGUAGUCCACGCCGUAAACGUUGGGCACUAGUGUGGGACCUUAUCAACGGGUUCCGUGCCGCAGCUAACGCAUUAAGUGCCCCGCCUGGGGAGUACGGCCGCAAGG
Molecule: ribosomal RNA, 860 nt
Filed under: uncultured soil bacterium
Lineage: Bacteria
Description: bacterial SSU rRNA
Rfam family: Bacterial small subunit ribosomal RNA
Source: RNAcentral